GACGAACGCUGGCGGCGUGCCUAACACAUGCAAGUCAACUUGACGGAAGGAGCAAUCUGACCGUAGAGUGGCGCAAGGGUGCGUAACGCGUAAGUAACUUGCCCCAAGGUAAGGAAUAACGUCGAGAAAUCGGCGCUAAUACCUCAUAAUGCAGCGGAUCCGCAUGGAUAUGUUGUUAAAGGUUUACCGCCUUGGGAUAGGCUUGCGUCUGAUUAGCUAGUUGGUGUGGUAACGGCACACCAAGGCUACGAUCAGUAACUGGUCUGAGAGGAUGAUCAGUCACACUGGAACUGAGACACGGUCCAGACUCCUACGGGAGGCAGCAGUGAGGAAUAUUGGGCAAUGCUCGAAAGAGUGACCCAGCAACGCCGCGUGGAGGAUGAAGGUAUUCUAUAUCGUAAACUCCUGUGAGAGCAGACGAAGACAGAUUAUAAUCUGGAUGACUGUAUGCUCAGAGGAAG
This 461-nucleotide ribosomal RNA is filed under the name uncultured bacterium. RNAcentral's name for it is "bacterial SSU rRNA". It matches the Rfam family "Bacterial small subunit ribosomal RNA", at positions 28 to 490 of the family's 1533-position model. The record is from RNAcentral.